Non-coding RNA from Doryrhamphus excisus (bluestripe pipefish), 1805 nucleotides. The record is from RefSeq and is a predicted model, not a curated record. NCBI's taxonomy places the organism in Eukaryota, Metazoa, Chordata, Actinopteri, Syngnathiformes, Syngnathidae.
CCCAGUGUUAAAUAUGCAGUGUCAAAGUGCAUUGACUCUAUCCGAGUUAAUACAACAACAGCUUGAGUAAAGCGCCCCCCAGUGUUGGUGUCAAUUUCCGUCGUUAAAUGAGCAGUGUUAGACUUACUCUGAAGAGCCCCGCCCACCUCCUCUUCAAUUUCUAACCGUCAGAAUUUUCAAGACGGCAUUUUCUCCCAGUGGAAAGAGUACGUACGAGAACAUGCUCCUCAAAGUGAAACUUGGUGAUGUCCAAAAAUUUGUUAGAGUAACUGAGCCAAAUCUGUCAGACUUUUUGAAUGCAGCAUUUGCCAAAUUUGGUGUCCCAGCUGUAACAGAAGUUGUCAAAGUUGUUGACAGGGACUGAAUUAGAUGACGAUGUUUUUGAGGAUAUAGUAAAGGAUCCCUACACUGGGGUGCUAACCAUCAUAUAUGAAACAGAAUCUGUCUCCAUGGUAGCCUCUCCUGAGUCCCAACUAUCAUCUCUGGGUUCAUCGGACUCACUGGAUACCAUCAUCCUUUCAGACAGCCCUUCCAGAAAGUGUCAGAGGCUGGAUUCAGAGGCUAUGCAACUGGUGAAAUCCAUUCUUACCAAGAAAUCUGGUGGAGAAUAUAUAAUAAAUGAAUACAACCGAACUAAGACCUUGGCAGAUGAGAGCAGAAGGAAAAUGGUGAACAUACUGGCAGCUGAUAUGACGGAGAAGAAUGGUACAUCUCCACCCAGACAGGUGAAAGAAAUGUAUGCGAGAGGAAAUGUGAACUUGUUCCCCUACCUCAGAGACCCAUUCUCCAAGAAUAGCUAUGGAGCAUUAUUAUGAUGGAGACAGUGGUACUGGGUACUUGGCCUGGAGAAUUAAAACUAUUCAGAGAUGCAGUGCUAAAGACAAGCGGUCAUUAUUUGGAGCAUCAGCGGAAGGACCAUCUGGUGAGGACAUGUCAGGAGGACCGACUGUCAGACGAGUUUCCCAAUUCGUUCCAGAGACUGUCCUGAGUGAAGAUGAGUGCAAGGAAGCAAUGUCACUGAUGAAACAUUCAGCUGACGAGGACACAGUUAGGAAGAAGAUGAAGCUGACAUUUGUCCAUCGGCGUAACAUGGUCCUUGACCCACAGCAGUCAAGCAACAUACUAUCUGAUUUUCCUCGUUUAAAGACAUCAGAGGCUUGGUUGAACAAGAUUUUGCUCUGAUGUUUGGAGAGGAUGUAUCAGACAAGUUUCUGGAGAAGUGGCCAACCACAUUCAAGAAGAUCAUCCAACAAUGCAGAACGAUUCCCUCCACCAGUGAGCUUAAGGAACUCCUGGCAGCUGAUCCUUCUGAGGAUGGGGAUGAAGUGGAUAUUGACUAUGGUUGGGACAGUGACCUCUCAUCAAUUUGACUGCUGCUACACUUGAUCCCACCUACUGCUCUAGGUCGGAAGAGGCCAGGAAAGGUGUCUGCGUCCCGGGCUGAGGAGCAUCUUGUGGUCUUCAAGAAGACGGGAACAAUCAUCCAAGAGCAUCUCGAUGCCAUAACUAGUAGCACUCAACCCUAUCUCCUGGCUGUUGGAGUGAGGAAGAAUGCAAUCCACCAGUUCUUCAUCAUUCUCGACAAGAAUGCUAUACCUUGCAGGUCACCCUCUUCUCUUGGUGCUUCUGAUGAACUGUUUAAGGUACACUUCGUGUUUGGGACAUCAUACAACACCAUGCUCCACAACAUGUACACGUUCAUCCAAACCACUGUGUACAACAUUGAUGUUGGCAAAUUUUAUGCCGACCUAAGGUCAGUGUUUUUAUAUUCUGUACCUGAUGUUGAUAUUUUGGCCUGACAGGAA